AUUGAACGCUGGCGGCAUGCUUUACACAUGCAAGUCGAACGGCAGCGCGGGCUUCGGCCUGGCGGCGAGUGGCGAACGGGUGAGUAAUGCAUCGGAACGUGCCCAGUAGUGGGGGAUAGCCCGGCGAAAGCCGGAUUAAUACCGCAUACGACCUGAGGGUGAAAGCGGGGGACCGAAAGGCCUCGCGCUAUUGGAGCGGCCGAUGUCGGAUUAGCUAGUUGGUGGGGUAAAGGCUUACCAAGGCGACGAUCCGUAGCUGGUCUGAGAGGACGACCAGCCACACUGGGACUGAGACACGGCCCAGACUCCUACGGGAGGCAGCAGUGGGGAAUUUUGGACAAUGGGGGCAACCCCGAUCCAGCCAUGCCGCGUGCGGGAAGAAGGCCUUCGGGUUGUAAACCGCUUUUGUUCGGGAAGAAAUCCUCUGGGCUAAUACCCCGGGGGGAUGACGGUACCGGAAGAAUAAGCACCGGCUAACUACGUG
RNAcentral lists this ribosomal RNA (484 nucleotides) under uncultured bacterium. RNAcentral's name for it is "partial 16S ribosomal RNA". It matches the Rfam family "Bacterial small subunit ribosomal RNA", at positions 28 to 507 of the family's 1533-position model. The record is from RNAcentral.